Molecule: transfer RNA, 73 nt
Filed under: Kineococcus xinjiangensis
Lineage: Bacteria; Bacillati; Actinomycetota; Actinomycetes; Kineosporiales; Kineosporiaceae
Rfam family: tRNA
About the family: Transfer RNA (tRNA) molecules are approximately 80 nucleotides in length. Their secondary structure includes four short double-helical elements and three loops (D, anti-codon, and T loops). Further hydrogen bonds mediate the characteristic L-shaped molecular structure. tRNAs have two regions of fundamental functional importance: the anti-codon, which is responsible for specific mRNA codon recognition, and the 3' end, to which the tRNAs corresponding amino acid is attached (by aminoacyl-tRNA synthetases). tRNAs cope with the degeneracy of the genetic code in two manners: having more than one tRNA (with a specific anti-codon) for a particular amino acid; and 'wobble' base-pairing, i.e. permitting non-standard base-pairing at the 3rd anti-codon position.
Source: Rfam by way of RNAcentral
GCGUGAGGAGCUCGACUGGCUGAGCACCUGCCUUCCAAGCAGGCGAUUGCGGGUUCGAAUCCCGUCUCACGCU